Molecule: transfer RNA, 67 nt
Filed under: Lachesilla punctata
Lineage: Eukaryota; Metazoa; Arthropoda; Insecta; Psocodea; Lachesillidae
Description: tRNA-Met
Source: RNAcentral
UAAAAAGUAAGCUAAGUUUAAGCUUUCGGGUUCAUACCCCGAAUAUAGAUAUCAAAUCUCUUUUUAA